Molecule: long non-coding RNA, 582 nt
Organism: Mytilus californianus (California mussel)
Lineage: Eukaryota; Metazoa; Mollusca; Bivalvia; Mytilida; Mytilidae
Exons: 8
Source: RefSeq, a predicted model, not a curated record
AUAUACAAUUAUUGACUUUUUUGUAUUAUUAAUUUCAGGAGAAUGUUUAAACUCGUCGAAUAAUCACACAAAAUCAGAAGCAAACAUUUUGGCGACUUUUUAAACAGGAGAGUUUUCAAACUCGUCGAAUAAUCACACAAAAUCAGAAGCAAAAACGUUGGCGACUUUUCAACAGGAGAAUGUUUCAACUCGUCGAAUAAUAACACAAAAUCAGAAGCAAACAUUUGGGCGACUUUUUAAACAGGAGAAUGUUCAAACUCGUCGAAUAAUCUCACCAAAUCGGAAGAAACAGUUUGGCGACUUUUUAAACAGGAGAAUGUCCAAACUCGCCGAAUAAUCUCACAAAAUCGGAAAAAAACAUUUGGCGACUUUUUAAACAGGAGUAUUUUCAAACUCGUCGAAUAAUCACACAAAAUCAGAAGCAAAAAUUUUGGCGACUUUUUAAACAGGAGAAUUAUCAAACUCGUCGAAUAAUCACACAAAAUCAGAAGCAAAAAUUUUGACGAAUUUUUAAACAGGAGAAUUAUCAAACUCGUCGAAUAAUCACACAAAAUCAGAAGCAAAAAUUUUGACGAAUUUUUA